GCGCCGUUUCGCAGUGACGAUGUGGGAUGCAACAACGACGUCCCCUGACUUGAGCGACGGAUUGAGACCGCCGGCGACGCCGAAGCUCACGAUGCCGCGAAUGCUCGCCGGAUCAAACGACGUCAUCAUCUCGCGUAAUUGAACUGGAUUGCUUGAACUGCAGAUGACGGUGAGACCGGGGCCGGCAGCGAUGCGGGCCUCCUG
RNAcentral lists this unclassified non-coding RNA (204 nucleotides) under Hevea brasiliensis (rubber tree). The record is from RNAcentral. Lineage: Eukaryota; Viridiplantae; Streptophyta; Magnoliopsida; Malpighiales; Euphorbiaceae.